Long non-coding RNA from Periophthalmus magnuspinnatus, 398 nucleotides. RefSeq lists it as uncharacterized. Lineage: Eukaryota; Metazoa; Chordata; Actinopteri; Gobiiformes; Gobiidae. The transcript has 4 exons. The record is from RefSeq and is a predicted model, not a curated record.
CUAUUUAAAAGUCAGCCUUUGUCGCUCAGUAGACAAAAUAAGGCAGCUCCUGCAUUGCUUUCAUUGUUACUCAUUUACUCCUCCAGGAUGAAGGGCCCCAUUGUCUUCCUCACUCUGGCUCUGGUCAUCAUGUCUAUGGCUCAACCUGCAGAAGGCUUUCUGCAUCACAUUUUGAGAGGAAUUCAUGGCUGUGCGGGCGGGAUCCUGCGGUCGGGCCAAGCACAAGCUGAGGAUCAGGAUGCACAGGUGGUGUUUGUGGACAAACGCUCAGCAGACGACAACCCAGGGCCGGACUCCUCCAAGUGACCACUGUUACUUCUGUACUUCUUUCUGUGUUACUCAUAUCCAAAGUAUUGUGUAUAAAGGUCUUUGGAUUUAAUCAAUAAAGAGCAUUUACA